CACUCAUGCAAUUCCAGACCAGGGUUUGAGCAUGCCAGUUGCUUGAACUAACGUUCCACUGGCCUCGUUUAGAACUAUUUGUGUUGGCGGAGAAGAAAUAUACAAAGCCACUAUCCAAAUUUCGCCUGAAAUGCACUUAGGAUGUUUGAGUUGGAGGCUGAUCCUGAUGUUUGGUGGCUACAGCAGAGACCUGAGAGGAGGUGAUAACAGCAUUGGAACUAGACAUGUGUCUCAUCCUGAUGAGAUGAGUGGUGAAAGUUUUGGAGUCAGUCUCAGCAUCUUUAAGCUACAAGUGAAACGCAAGGCCACAGUCUGAAGUUCGCAGUUCACCAGCUCAGAUUUCUGCGAUACACCGGCACGAGAAUUAGCACUGAUUCAGGAAAAAGCAAUUGCAGAGAACAGUUGAAUACACUAUAAUCAAAACGCUUCUUUUAAAUGUUACAUUUUUAUAUCUAAA
Molecule: long non-coding RNA, 457 nt
Organism: Labeo rohita (rohu)
Lineage: Eukaryota; Metazoa; Chordata; Actinopteri; Cypriniformes; Cyprinidae
Exons: 3
Source: RefSeq, a predicted model, not a curated record